This 497-nucleotide ribosomal RNA is filed under the name uncultured bacterium. RNAcentral's name for it is "partial 16S ribosomal RNA". It matches the Rfam family "Bacterial small subunit ribosomal RNA", at positions 28 to 507 of the family's 1533-position model. The record is from RNAcentral.
GACGAACGCUGGCGGCGUGCCUAAUACAUGCAAGUAGAACGCUGAAGAGAGGAGCUUGCUCUUCUUGGAUGAGUUGCGAACGGGUGAGUAACGCGUAGGUAACCUGCCUUGUAGCGGGGGAUCACUAUUGGAAACGAUAGCUAAUACCGCAUAACAAUGGAUGACACAUGUCAGUUAUUUGAAAGGGGCAAUUGCUCCACUACAAGAUGGACCUGCGUUGUAUUAGCUAGUAGGUGAGGUAAUGGCUCACCUAGGCGAGGAUACAUAGCCGACCUGAGAGGGUGAUCGGCCACCCUGGGACUGAGACACGGCCCAGACUCCUACGGGAGGCAGCAGUAGGGAAUCGUCGGCAAUGGGGGCAACCCUGACCGAGCAACGCCGCGUGAGUGAAGAAGGGUUUCGGAUCGUAAAGCUCUGUUGUAAGUCAAGAACGGGUGUGAGAGUGGAAAGUUCACACUGUGACGGUAGCUUACCAGAAAGGGACGGCUAACUACGUG